GGGAUGUAGCUUGGUGGUAGAGCACUUGCCUAACAUGUGCAAAGCCCUGGGUUUAAUCCCCAACACUUCCC
This 71-nucleotide transfer RNA is filed under the name Marmota monax (woodchuck). RNAcentral describes it as "tRNA.Val". The record is from RNAcentral. Lineage: Eukaryota; Metazoa; Chordata; Mammalia; Rodentia; Sciuridae.